ACCCGCUGAACUUAAGCAUAUCAGUAAGCGGAGGAAAAGAAAUUAACUAAGAUUGCCUCAGUAGCGGCGAGCGAACAGGCAUCAGCUCAAGCCUUGAAUCUGGAGUCUUGUACUUCAGAAUUGUAGUCUAAAGCGGCAGACAGAAGAUGAGGAGUUUGUGUAAUUUCCUUGGAAAGGGAAGCCGUAGAGGGUGAAAGCCCCGUUCCACAAUGCUCCUGUUGUAUGUCUGUUAGCAUAGAGUCGGGUUGUUUGGGAUUGCAGCCCUAAGUGGGAGAUAAACUUCUUCUAAGGCUAAAUAUUUAUGGGAAACCGAUAGCGAACAAGUACUGUGAAGGAAAGAUGAAAAGAACUUUGGAAAGAGAGUUAAAAGACUUGAAAUCGUUGAAAAGGAAGCGGUAGAAGAGUAUCAUAUCUGGGGUGGACGUAAGGCUGGUGAGUAUUGAUGUGCGCUUGGUGUGGUACGUUAAAGGCCUGCCAGGUGUGUCAUUACGGUACUCUCGCUGUCUUCCAUCCUGAUAGCAAGAUGGGGUUUGACAUGUCGGAUACGUUGUGUGGAAAGUCGUCUUCGGACAGUCCAUACAAAAUGCGGCAUGACUAGCCUGAGGGUGCUACGGCGAUCUUGCUUAGAUGGCUUC
Molecule: ribosomal RNA, 635 nt
Filed under: uncultured fungus
Lineage: Eukaryota; Fungi
Description: eukaryotic LSU rRNA
Rfam family: Eukaryotic large subunit ribosomal RNA
Source: RNAcentral